This 156-nucleotide transfer RNA is filed under the name Clostridia bacterium. RNAcentral's name for it is "tRNA-Leu". It matches the Rfam family "tRNA". Rfam says of the family: Transfer RNA (tRNA) molecules are approximately 80 nucleotides in length. The record is from RNAcentral. Lineage: Bacteria; Bacillati; Bacillota; Clostridia.
GCCCAAGUGGCGAAAUGGCAGACGCAAAGGACUUAAAAUCCUUCGGUGGAAACACCGUGCCGGUUACGCACUUGCGUGCGUGAAUAUCGUCGCAAAAAUGCCCUUGCAAGCAAGCAUUUCUUGCUCGAUAUAUGACGAGUCCGGCCUUGGGCACCA